RNAcentral lists this ribosomal RNA (385 nucleotides) under uncultured bacterium. RNAcentral's name for it is "bacterial SSU rRNA". It matches the Rfam family "Bacterial small subunit ribosomal RNA", at positions 28 to 417 of the family's 1533-position model. The record is from RNAcentral.
GAUAAACGCUGGCGGCGUGCCUAAUCAAUGCGAGUCGAACGGGGCUGCUUUCGGGCAGUCCAGUGGCGUCCGGGUGAGUAACGCGUAGCUAACCUACCUGUUCGUGGGGGAUACCCGCCAGAAAUGGCGGCUAAUACCGCAUAGCCUGACUGGGAGCGAUCCGAGGCAGGAAAGCCGCAAGGCGCGAACAGAGGGGGCUGCGUCCGAUUAGCUAGUCGGUGGGGUAACGGCCUACCGAGGCGACGAUCGGUAGCUGGUCUGAGAGGAUGGUCAGCCACACUGGGACUGAGACAUGGGUCCAGAGCUCUACGGGGUUUAGCAUGAAGGGAUAUUGCGCAAUGGGCGAAAGCCUGACGCAGCAACGCCGCGUGUGGGACGACGCCUC